GACGAACGCUGGCGGCGUGCUUAACACAUGCAAGUCGAACGGAAAGGCGCGGCUCUUGUUGGUUUCUCGAUUGGCGAACGCGGGAGUAACACGCGAGUAACCUCUCCUUGACUUUGUGAUAACUUUACGAAACUGGGGCGAAUAUCGCGUAGGAUCUCUUGCAGCAUGUGGGGGGAUGGAAAGUUUCGGCGGUUGGGGCUGGACUCGCGGGUUAUCAGCUUGGUGGUGGGGUAGGGGCUUACCAAGGUUUUGACGGGUAGCCGGCAUGGGAGGGUGACCGGCCACAUUGGGACUGAGAUACGGCCCAGACUCCUACGUGAGGCAGCAGUGGGGAAUAUUGCACAAUGGGCGGAAGCCUGAUGCAGCAGCGCCGCGUGCGGGAUGACGGCCUUCGGGUUGUAAACCGCUUUCGCCUGUGACGAAGCGUGAGUGACGGUAAUGGGUAAAGAAGCACCGGCUAACUACGUG
RNAcentral lists this ribosomal RNA (468 nucleotides) under uncultured bacterium. RNAcentral describes it as "partial 16S ribosomal RNA". It matches the Rfam family "Bacterial small subunit ribosomal RNA", at positions 28 to 507 of the family's 1533-position model. The record is from RNAcentral.